CCCAAACCCAAUGUGAACGUUACCAAACUGUUGCCUCGGCGGGAUCUCUGCCCCGGGUGCGUCGCAGCCCCGGACCAAGGCGCCCGCCGGAGGACCAACCAAAACUCUUAUUGUAUACCCCCUCGCGGGUUUUUUUUAUAAUCUGAGCCUUCUCGGCGCCUCUCGUAGGCGUUUCGAAAAUGAAUCAAAACUUUCAACAACGGAUCUCUUGGUUCUGGCAUCGAUGAAGAACGCAGCGAAAUGCGAUAAGUAAUGUGAAUUGCAGAAUUCAGUGAAUCAUCGAAUCUUUGAACGCACAUUGCGCCCGCCAGUAUUCUGGCGGGCAUGCCUGUCCGAGCGUCAUUUCAACCCUCGAACCCCUCCGGGGGGUCGGCGUUGGGGAUCGGCCCUGCCUUGGCGGUGGCCGUCUCCGAAAUACAGUGGCGGUCUCGCCGCAGCCUCUCCUGCGCAGUAGUUUGCACACUCGCAUCGGGAGCGCGGCGCGUCCACAGCCGUUAAACACCCAACUUCUGAAAUGUUGACCUCGGAUCAGGUAGGAAUACCCGCUGAACUUAAGCAUAUCA
RNAcentral lists this ribosomal RNA (563 nucleotides) under fungal sp. AM2013. RNAcentral describes it as "eukaryotic LSU rRNA". The stretch from base 189 to 342 matches the Rfam family "5.8S ribosomal RNA". Lineage: Eukaryota; Fungi. The record is from RNAcentral.